This 73-nucleotide transfer RNA is filed under the name Candidatus Subteraquimicrobiales bacterium. RNAcentral describes it as "tRNA-Val". It matches the Rfam family "tRNA". Rfam says of the family: Transfer RNA (tRNA) molecules are approximately 80 nucleotides in length. Their secondary structure includes four short double-helical elements and three loops (D, anti-codon, and T loops). The record is from RNAcentral. Lineage: Bacteria; Bacillati; Actinomycetota; Candidatus Aquicultoria; Candidatus Subteraquimicrobiales.
GGCCGCUUGGCUCAGUGGUUAGAGCGCUCGGUUCACAUCCGAGAGAUCGCUGGUUCGAAUCCAGUAGUGGCCA